This 70-nucleotide transfer RNA is filed under the name Ictidomys tridecemlineatus (thirteen-lined ground squirrel). RNAcentral's name for it is "Spermophilus tridecemlineatus (thirteen-lined ground squirrel) tRNA". It matches the Rfam family "tRNA". From Rfam's summary of the family: Transfer RNA (tRNA) molecules are approximately 80 nucleotides in length. Their secondary structure includes four short double-helical elements and three loops (D, anti-codon, and T loops). Further hydrogen bonds mediate the characteristic L-shaped molecular structure. tRNAs have two regions of fundamental functional importance: the anti-codon, which is responsible for specific mRNA codon recognition, and the 3' end, to which the tRNAs corresponding amino acid is attached (by aminoacyl-tRNA synthetases). tRNAs cope with the degeneracy of the genetic code in two manners: having more than one tRNA (with a specific anti-codon) for a particular amino acid; and 'wobble' base-pairing, i.e. permitting non-standard base-pairing at the 3rd anti-codon position. The record is from Rfam by way of RNAcentral. Lineage: Eukaryota; Metazoa; Chordata; Mammalia; Rodentia; Sciuridae.
GGGAAUAUAGCUCAAUUGGUAGAGUGCUUGCCUUGCAUGUAAAAAGCCCUGGUUUCAAUCCCCAGCACCA